Molecule: ribosomal RNA, 484 nt
Filed under: uncultured bacterium
Lineage: Bacteria
Description: partial 16S ribosomal RNA
Rfam family: Bacterial small subunit ribosomal RNA
Source: RNAcentral
AUUGAACGCUGGCGGAAUGCUUUACACAUGCAAGUCGAGCGGCAGCGCGGCCUUCGGGCUGGCGGCGAGCGGCGAACGGGUGAGUAAUGCAUCGGAACAUGCCCAGUCGUGGGGGAUAACACUUCGAAAGAAGUGCUAAUACCGCAUACGUCCUGAGGGGGAAAGCGGGGGAUCGCAAGACCUCGCGCGAUUGGAGUGGCCGAUGUCAGAUUAGCUAGUUGGUGGGGUAAAGACCUACCAAGGCGACGAUCUGUAGCUGGUCUGAGAGGAUGAUCAGCCACACUGGGACUGAGACGCGGCCCAGACUCCUACGGGAGGCAGCAGUGGGGAAUUUUGGACAAUGGGGGCAACCCUGAUCCAGCCAUUCCGCGUGAGUGAAGAAGGCCUUCGGGUUGUAAAGCUCUUUCGGCAGGAACGAAACGGUGGGCUCUAACAUAGUCCGCUAAUGACGGUACCUGAAGAAGAAGCACCGGCUAACUACGUG